GACGAACGCUGGCGGCGUGCUUAACACAUGCAAGUCGAACGGUAAGGCCCUUCGGGGUACACGAGUGGCGAACGAGUGAGUAACACGUGGGUGAUCUGCCCUGCACUUCGGGAUAAGCCUGGGAAACUGGGUCUAAUACCGGAUAGGACCACUGCCUGCAUGGGUGGUGGUGGAAAGCUUUUGCGGUUUGGGAUGGGCCCGCGGCCUAUAAGCUUGUUGGUGGGGUGAUGGCCUACCACGGCGACGACGGGUAGCCGGCCUGUGAGGGUGACCGGCCACAGUGGGACUGAGCUACGGCCCAGACUCCGACGGGAGGCAGCAGUGGGGAAUAGUGCACAAUGGGCGGAAGCCUGAUGCAGCGACGCCGCGUGAGGGAUGACGGCCUUCGGGUUGUAAACCUCUUUCAGCACCGACGAAGCGCAAGUGACGGUAGGGACAGAAGAAGGACCGGCCAACUACGUGCCAGCCGCCGCCGUAA
Molecule: ribosomal RNA, 478 nt
Filed under: uncultured bacterium
Lineage: Bacteria
Description: partial 16S ribosomal RNA
Rfam family: Bacterial small subunit ribosomal RNA
Source: RNAcentral